This 82-nucleotide transfer RNA is filed under the name Dendronephthya gigantea. RNAcentral's name for it is "tRNA-Ser". It matches the Rfam family "tRNA". From Rfam's summary of the family: Transfer RNA (tRNA) molecules are approximately 80 nucleotides in length. Lineage: Eukaryota; Metazoa; Cnidaria; Anthozoa; Malacalcyonacea; Nephtheidae. The record is from RNAcentral.
GUAGUCGUGGCCGAGUGGUUAAGGCGACAGACUUGAAAUCUGUUGGGAUAUUCCCGCGCAGGUUCCAAUCCUGCCGACUACG